CAAGUCGAGCGCGUGAAUCAACAUGAUCCCUUCGGGGUGAUUGUUGUGGAUCGAGCGGCGGACGGGUGAGUAACACGUGGGCAACCUACCCAUGAGAUCGGGAUAACUCCGGGAAACCGGAGCUAAUACCGAAUAACCCAGUGAACUGCAUGGUUCACUGGUAAAAGGCGGUUUCGGCCGUCACUCAUGGAUGGGCCCGCGGCGCAUUAGCUAGUUGGUAAGGUAACGGCUUACCAAGGCAACGAUGCGUAGCCGACCUGAGAGGGUGAUCGGCCACACUGGGACUGAGACACGGCCCAGACUCCUACGGGAGGCAGCAGUAGGGAAUCUUCCGCAAUGGACGAAAGUCUGACGGAGCAACGCCGCGUGAACGAUGAAGGUCUUCGGAUCGUAAAGUUCUGUUGUUAGGGAAGAACAAGUACCAGAGGAAAUGCUGGUACCUUGACGGUACCUAACCAGAAAGCCACGGCUAACUACGUGCCAGCAGCCGCGGUAAUACGUAGGUGGCAAGCGUUGUCCGGAAUUAUUGGGCGUAAAGCGCGCGCAGGCGGUUUCUUAAGUCUGAUGUGAAAGCCCACAGCUCAACUGUGGAGGGCCAUUGGAAACUGGGGAACUUGAGUACAGAAGAGGAGAGUGGAAUUCCACGUGUAGCGGUGAAAUGCGUAGAUAUGUGGAGGAACACCAGUGGCGAAGGCGACUCUCUGGUCUGUAACUGACGCUGAGGCGCGAAAGCGUGGGUAGCAAACAGGAUUAGAUACCCU
RNAcentral lists this ribosomal RNA (761 nucleotides) under bacterium IBRC-M N7. Its description in RNAcentral is "bacterial SSU rRNA". It matches the Rfam family "Bacterial small subunit ribosomal RNA", at positions 58 to 788 of the family's 1533-position model. The record is from RNAcentral.